UUAUGGGGUAGCGCUGGGGACAGGUGGCCUGGCCAAGGUUCUGGGGUUCCUCCAUGCGAGUCGUGGAUGGGCCCCGCUGUUGGCUG
This is an unclassified non-coding RNA of Bos indicus x Bos taurus (hybrid cattle), 86 nucleotides long. The record is from Ensembl. NCBI's taxonomy places the organism in Eukaryota, Metazoa, Chordata, Mammalia, Artiodactyla, Bovidae.